RNAcentral lists this ribosomal RNA (484 nucleotides) under uncultured bacterium. RNAcentral's name for it is "partial 16S ribosomal RNA". It matches the Rfam family "Bacterial small subunit ribosomal RNA", at positions 30 to 507 of the family's 1533-position model. The record is from RNAcentral.
AUUGAACGCUGGCGGCAGGCCUAACACAUGCAAGUCGAGCGGAUGAAGGGAUCUUGCUCCUGGAUUCAGCGGCGGACGGGUGAGUAAUGCCUAGGAAUCUGCCUGGUAGUGGGGGAUAACGUCCGGAAACGGGCGCUAAUACCGCAUACGUCCUGAGGGAGAAAGUGGGGGAGCUCCGGACCGCACGCUAUCAUUUGAGCCUAGGUCGGAUUAGCUAGUUGGUGGGGUAAAGGCCUACCAAGGCGACGAUCCGUAACUGGUCUGAGAGGAUGAUCAGUCACACUGGAACUGAGACACGGUCCAGACUCCUACGGGAGGCAGCAGUGGUGAAUAUUGGACCAUGGGCGAAAGCGUGAUCCAGACCUGCCGCGUGUGUGCAGAAGGACUUCGGAUUGUAAAGCACUUGAAGUAGGGAGGAGGGGCAGUAAGUUAAUACCUAUCUGUUUUGACGUUACCAACAGACUAAGCAACGGCUAACUUCGUG